UACAGAGGGUGCUAGCGUUGUUCGGAAUUAUUGGGCGUAAAGCGCGUGUAGGCGGCCUGGCAAGUUGGGUGUGAAAGCCCUCGGCUUAACCGAGGAAGUGCGCCCAAAACUACUAGGCUUGAGUACCGGAGAGGAUAGUGGAAUUCCCGGUGUAGAGGUGAAAUUCGUAGAUAUCGGGAGGAACACCGGUGGCGAAGGCGGCGACCUGGGUAGAUACUGACGCUGAGGUGCGAAAGCGUGGGGAGCAAACAGG
This 253-nucleotide ribosomal RNA is filed under the name uncultured bacterium. Its description in RNAcentral is "partial 16S ribosomal RNA". It matches the Rfam family "Bacterial small subunit ribosomal RNA", at positions 524 to 776 of the family's 1533-position model. The record is from RNAcentral.